RNAcentral lists this unclassified non-coding RNA (205 nucleotides) under Hevea brasiliensis (rubber tree). The record is from RNAcentral. Lineage: Eukaryota; Viridiplantae; Streptophyta; Magnoliopsida; Malpighiales; Euphorbiaceae.
GAUAUAUAUAAAAAAAAAACUAUAUGUUCACUAGCUAUAUCUAUGUGCUGCUGCUUUGUCACAGAAACAAAUCAAAACCCUGAUAGAUAAAAGAGUUGACAUGGCAGAAAGAUAUCUCACUUAGCUUGAUGCAGCAUGUAGCAUGGAAAAGGAUCAACACAUGAUCAAACCCUUGAAAAUGAACAAGAUCUAAUCUAAGAUCUUA